Molecule: unclassified non-coding RNA, 233 nt
Filed under: plant metagenome
Description: partial contains small subunit ribosomal RNA, internal transcribed spacer 1, and 5.8S ribosomal RNA
Source: RNAcentral
UCUCCGUUGGUGAACCAGCGGAGGGAUCAUUACCAAGUUUUUCUACUCCCAAACCCCUGUGAACUUAUACCUUUACUGUUGCUUCGGCGGGUUAACGCCCCGGAAGGCCCAAAAAGCCGCCGGAACCAGGCGCCCGCCGGGGGACCCAAACUCUUGUAUUUCUUACUUUGCAUGUCUGAGUGGAAUCAUAAACAAAUGAAUCAAAACUUUCAACAACGGAUCUCUUGGUUCUG